This 208-nucleotide long non-coding RNA is filed under the name Hordeum vulgare. RNAcentral's name for it is "long non-coding RNA (HVUL_LNC016432)". Lineage: Eukaryota; Viridiplantae; Streptophyta; Magnoliopsida; Poales; Poaceae. The record is from RNAcentral.
UUUUUUAAAAGUAUCAAUGUAGUAACACUUGUCAAUGAAAUCAUCUACUUUUCUUCCACUCUUAUGGAUAGCACAAACUGCAUGACAGCAAGGAAGGCCUGCAAGCUCAAAGUAACCACAUGAACAUGUCCAUUUCUCAAGAUUAACUGUGUACCUCCUUCCUCUGGUAUUCAAAUGCUUCACCUCAAAACCAUCCUUUCCAUUCCAC